UGGGGUGUAGCUCAGUGGCAGAGCAUACCCUUAGCAUGCACGAGGUACUGGGUUCAAUCCCCAGCACCUCUG
This 72-nucleotide transfer RNA is filed under the name Camelus bactrianus (Bactrian camel). It matches the Rfam family "tRNA". Rfam says of the family: Transfer RNA (tRNA) molecules are approximately 80 nucleotides in length. Their secondary structure includes four short double-helical elements and three loops (D, anti-codon, and T loops). The record is from Rfam by way of RNAcentral. RNAcentral also lists the same sequence under 1 other name. Lineage: Eukaryota; Metazoa; Chordata; Mammalia; Artiodactyla; Camelidae.